This 889-nucleotide ribosomal RNA is filed under the name Kellermania yuccifoliorum. RNAcentral's name for it is "LSU rRNA". It matches the Rfam family "Eukaryotic large subunit ribosomal RNA", at positions 37 to 944 of the family's 3401-position model. Lineage: Eukaryota; Fungi; Ascomycota; Dothideomycetes; Botryosphaeriales; Planistromellaceae. The record is from RNAcentral.
AGCAUAUCAAUAAGCGGAGGAAAAGAAACCAACAGGGAUUGCCUCAGUAACGGCGAGUGAAGCGGCAACAGCUCAAAUUUGAAAUCUGGCGCCUUCGGCGUCCGAGUUGUAAUUUGUAGAGGAUGUUUCGGCGAGGGCUCCCGUCUAAGUCCCUUGGAACAGGGCGUCGCAGAGGGUGAGAAUCCCGUAUGUGAUGGGUUGCUCGAGCCAUGUGAAACUCCUUCGACGAGUCGAGUUGUUUGGGAAUGCAGCUCUAAAUGGGAGGUAAAUUUCUUCUAAAGCUAAAUACCGGCCAGAGACCGAUAGCGCACAAGUAGAGUGAUCGAAAGAUGAAAAGCACUUUGGAAAGAGAGUUAAAAAGUACGUGAAAUUGUUGAAAGGGAAGCGCUUGCAACCAGACUCGCGCGCAGUUGCUCAGCCGGUCUCCUGACCGGUGUACUCUUCUGCGUCCGGGCCAGCAUCAGUUCGGGCGGUCGGAUAAAGGCCUCGGGAAUGUGGCUCCCCUCGGGGAGUGUUAUAGCCCGGGGUGCAAUGCGGCCAGCCUGGACUGAGGAACUCGCUUCGGCUAGGAUGCUGGCGUAAUGGUUGUAAGCGGCCCGUCUUGAAACACGGACCAAGGAGUCUAACAUCUAUGCGAGUGUUUGGGUGUCAAACCCAUGCGCGUAAUGAAAGUGAACGGAGGUGGGAACCCUUACGGGUGCACCAUCGACCGAUCCUGAUGUCUUCGGAUGGAUUUGAGUAAGAGCAUAGCUGUUGGGACCCGAAAGAUGGUGAACUAUGCCUGAAUAGGGUGAAGCCAGAGGAAACUCUGGUGGAGGCUCGCAGCGGUUCUGACGUGCAAAUCGAUCGUCAAAUUUGGGUAUAGGGGCGAAAGACUAAUCGAACCAUC